RNAcentral lists this microRNA precursor (191 nucleotides) under Vigna angularis (adzuki bean). RNAcentral describes it as "pre miRNA MIR159". It matches the Rfam family "MIR159 microRNA precursor family". RNAcentral also lists the same sequence under 1 other name. The record is from Rfam by way of RNAcentral. Lineage: Eukaryota; Viridiplantae; Streptophyta; Magnoliopsida; Fabales; Fabaceae.
AAACCCAAGUUGGAGUUUCCUUCACUCCAAUUAUUAGAAGAUAUGAUGGUAAACCUCUGCUGCUGGUUCAUGGAUACCUAUGGUUUCGUAACAACAUGUGACGGAACGAAAUCAAGGGUUUGCAUGAAUUAGGAGAUGAGUUACCUUGAUCUUUUCGUAUUGGAGUGAAGGGAUCUCCAAAGGUUAGAUUG